GAUGAACGCUGGCGGCGUGCCUAAUACAUGCAAGUCGAGCGAACAGAUAAGGGGCUUGCUCCUUUGACGUAAGCGGCGGAGGGGGGAGUUACACGUGGAGAACCUACCUAUAAGACUGGGAUAACUUCCGGAAACCGGAGCUAAAACCGGAUAACAUAUUGAACCGCAUGGUUCAAGAGUGAAAGGCGGCUUUGCUGUCACUUAUACAUGGAUCCGCGCCGUAUUAGCUAGUUGGUAAGGUAACGGCUUACCAAGGCAACGAUACGUAGCCGACCUGAGAGGGUGAUCGGCCACACUGGAACUGAGACACGGUCCAGACUCCUACGGGAGGCAGCAGUAGGGAAUCUUCCGCAAUGGGCGAAAGCCUGACGGAGCAACGCCGCGUGAGUGAUGAAGGUCUUCGGAUCGUAAAACUCUGUUAGCAGGGAAGAACAAAUGUGUAAGUAACUGUGCACAUCUUGACGGUACCUGAUCAGAAAGCCACGGCUAACUCCGUG
This 497-nucleotide ribosomal RNA is filed under the name uncultured bacterium. RNAcentral's name for it is "partial 16S ribosomal RNA". It matches the Rfam family "Bacterial small subunit ribosomal RNA", at positions 28 to 507 of the family's 1533-position model. The record is from RNAcentral.